GGUUAUGGUUCAGUGGUAGAGCGCUUGCCUAGCAUGUGCAAGGCCCUGGGUUCGAUCCUCAGCACCA
Molecule: transfer RNA, 67 nt
Filed under: Marmota monax (woodchuck)
Lineage: Eukaryota; Metazoa; Chordata; Mammalia; Rodentia; Sciuridae
Description: tRNA.Ala
Source: RNAcentral